Molecule: ribosomal RNA, 163 nt
Filed under: Herpotrichiellaceae sp.
Lineage: Eukaryota; Fungi; Ascomycota; Eurotiomycetes; Chaetothyriales; Herpotrichiellaceae
Description: partial large subunit ribosomal RNA
Rfam family: Eukaryotic large subunit ribosomal RNA
Source: RNAcentral
CGGCAAGAGCUCAAAUUUGAAAUCUGGCCUUUACAGGUCCGAGUUGUAAUUUGUAGAGGAUGUUUCGGGUACCGCCAAGGGGUAAAUUUCUUGGAACAGAAUGCCAUAGAGGGUGAGAGUCCCGUCUGUAACCGCGGUAGGGCCCAUGUGAAACUCCUUCGAC